RNAcentral lists this ribosomal RNA (481 nucleotides) under Arcygobius baliurus. Its description in RNAcentral is "partial 16S ribosomal RNA". It matches the Rfam family "Bacterial large subunit ribosomal RNA", at positions 1922 to 2571 of the family's 2925-position model. The record is from RNAcentral. Lineage: Eukaryota; Metazoa; Chordata; Actinopteri; Gobiiformes; Gobiidae.
GUUUAACGGCCGCGGUAUUUUGACCGUGCGAAGGUAGCGUAAUCACUUGUCUUUUAAAUGAAGACCUGUAUGAAUGGCACAACGAGGGCUAAGCUGUCUCCUUUCUCUAGUCAAUGAAAUUGAUCUACCCGUGCAGAAGCGAGUAUGUCCCCAUAAGACGAGAAGACCCUAUGGAGCUUUAGACACGGCAGACCACGUUAAUAAACUUCAUCUUAAAGCAAACAAAAUGGCCCUGUCCCCCUGUCUUUGGUUGGGGCGACCGCGGAGUAACAAGAAACCCCCACGUGGAAGGCCUCCCCUCAAGCAGAGCCACAGCUCUAACAAACAGAAAAUCUGACCAACAGAUCCGGCAAAGCCGAUCAACGGACCCAGUUACCCUAGGGAUAACAGCGCAAUCCCCUUCUAGAGCCCAUAUCGACAAGGGGGUUUACGACCUCGAUGUUGGAUCAGGACUUCCUAAUGGUGCAGCCGCUAUUAAGGG